UUGAUACUCCCUCCAUCCGGAAAUACUUGUCCUAGAAAUAGUUACGUCCAUUUUAUUUAUUUCUAGGACAAGUAUUUCCGAACGGAGGGAGUACAUA
Molecule: non-coding RNA, 97 nt
Organism: Triticum aestivum (bread wheat)
Lineage: Eukaryota; Viridiplantae; Streptophyta; Magnoliopsida; Poales; Poaceae
Source: Rfam